RNAcentral lists this ribosomal RNA (892 nucleotides) under Klebsiella pneumoniae. RNAcentral describes it as "bacterial SSU rRNA". It matches the Rfam family "Bacterial small subunit ribosomal RNA", at positions 548 to 1439 of the family's 1533-position model. Lineage: Bacteria; Pseudomonadati; Pseudomonadota; Gammaproteobacteria; Enterobacterales; Enterobacteriaceae. The record is from RNAcentral.
GAAUUACUGGGCGUAAAGCGCACGCAGGCGGUCUGUCAAGUCGGAUGUGAAAUCCCCGGGCUCAACCUGGGAACUGCAUUCGAAACUGGCAGGCUAGAGUCUUGUAGAGGGGGGUAGAAUUCCAGGUGUAGCGGUGAAAUGCGUAGAGAUCUGGAGGAAUACCGGUGGCGAAGGCGGCCCCCUGGACAAAGACUGACGCUCAGGUGCGAAAGCGUGGGGAGCAAACAGGAUUAGAUACCCUGGUAGUCCACGCCGUAAACGAUGUCGAUUUGGAGGUUGUGCCCUUGAGGCGUGGCUUCCGGAGCUAACGCGUUAAAUCGACCGCCUGGGGAGUACGGCCGCAAGGUUAAAACUCAAAUGAAUUGACGGGGGCCCGCACAAGCGGUGGAGCAUGUGGUUUAAUUCGAUGCAACGCGAAGAACCUUACCUGGUCUUGACAUCCACAGAACUUUCCAGAGAUGGAUUGGUGCCUUCGGGAACUGUGAGACAGGUGCUGCAUGGCUGUCGUCAGCUCGUGUUGUGAAAUGUUGGGUUAAGUCCCGCAACGAGCGCAACCCUUAUCCUUUGUUGCCAGCGGUCCGGCCGGGAACUCAAAGGAGACUGCCAGUGAUAAACUGGAGGAAGGUGGGGAUGACGUCAAGUCAUCAUGGCCCUUACGACCAGGGCUACACACGUGCUACAAUGGCAUAUACAAAGAGAAGCGACCUCGCGAGAGCAAGCGGACCUCAUAAAGUAUGUCGUAGUCCGGAUUGGAGUCUGCAACUCGACUCCAUGAAGUCGGAAUCGCUAGUAAUCGUAGAUCAGAAUGCUACGGUGAAUACGUUCCCGGGCCUUGUACACACCGCCCGUCACGACCAUGGGAGUGGGUUGCAAAAGAAGUAGGUAGCUUAAC